UACCUCAGUAACGGCGAGUGAAGCGGUAACAGCUCAAAUUUGAAAUCUGGGCCUUUCAGGCUCCGAGUUGUAAUUUGUAGAAGAUGCUUUGGGUGCGGCCCCGGUCUAAGUUCCUUGGAACAGGACGUCAUAGAGGGUGAGAAUCCCGUAUGUGAUCGGUGGCUUGCGCCCGUGUAAAGCUCUUUCGACGAGUCGGGUUGUUUGGGAAUGCAGCUCUAAAUGGGUGGUAAAUUUCAUCUAAAGCUAAAUAUUGGCCAGAGACCGAUAGCGCACAAGUAGAGUGAUCGAAAGAUGAAAAGCACUUUGGAAAGAGAGUUAAACAGUACGUGAAAUUGUUGAAAGGGAAGCGCUUGCAACCAGACUUGCGCGGGGUUGAUCAUCCGGGGUUCUCCCCGGUGCACUCGGCCCCGCUCAGGCCAGCAUCGGUUUUGGUGGUUGGAUAAAGGCCUUGGGAAUGUGACUUCUUUCGGGGAGUGUUAUAGCCCUCGGUGCAAUGCAGCCUACCGGGACCGAGGACCGCGCUUCGGCUAGGAUGCUGGCGUAAUGGUUGUAAGCGACCCGUCUUGAAACACGGACCAAGGAGUCUAACAUCUAUGCGAGUGUUUGGGUGUCAAACCCAUGCGCGUAAUGAAAGUGAACGGAGGUGAGAACCCUUAAGGGCGCAUCAUCGACCGAUCCUGAUGUCUUCGGAUGGAUUUGAGUAAGAGCAUAGCUGUUGGGACCCGAAAGAUGGUGAACUAUGCCUGAAUAGGGUGAAGCCAGAGGAAACUCUGGUGGAGGCUCGCAGCGGUUCUGACGUGCAAAUCGAUCGUCAAAUUUGGGCAUAGGGGCGAAAGACUAAUCGAACCAUCUAGUAGCUGGUUCCUGCCGAAGUUUCCCU
RNAcentral lists this ribosomal RNA (880 nucleotides) under Pezicula neocinnamomea. RNAcentral describes it as "eukaryotic LSU rRNA". It matches the Rfam family "Eukaryotic large subunit ribosomal RNA", at positions 76 to 973 of the family's 3401-position model. The record is from RNAcentral. Lineage: Eukaryota; Fungi; Ascomycota; Leotiomycetes; Helotiales; Dermateaceae.